Molecule: ribosomal RNA, 333 nt
Filed under: Salmonella enterica
Lineage: Bacteria; Pseudomonadati; Pseudomonadota; Gammaproteobacteria; Enterobacterales; Enterobacteriaceae
Description: bacterial SSU rRNA
Rfam family: Bacterial small subunit ribosomal RNA
Source: RNAcentral
AAAUUGAAGAGUUUGAUCAUGGCUCAGAUUGAACGCUGGCGGCAGGCCUAACACAUGCAAGUCGAACGGUAGCACAGAGAGCUUGCUCUCGGGUGACGAGUGGCGGACGGGUGAGUAAUGUCUGGGAAACUGCCCGAUGGAGGGGGAUAACUACUGGAAACGGUAGCUAAUACCGCAUAACGUCGCAAGACCAAAGUGGGGGACCUUCGGGCCUCACACCAUCGGAUGUGCCCAGAUGGGAUUAGCUAGUAGGUGGGGUAACGGCUCACCUAGGCGACGAUCCCUAGCUGGUCUGAGAGGAUGACCAGCCACACUGGAACUGAGACACGGUCC